Molecule: long non-coding RNA, 968 nt
Filed under: Mus musculus (house mouse)
Lineage: Eukaryota; Metazoa; Chordata; Mammalia; Rodentia; Muridae
Description: predicted gene, 36315
Source: RNAcentral
GACUGGCAAAGUUGGUUCUGAUUGCAGUUUCUAAACUACCAAAAGCCCAAGGCAGAGUGUCCUCAAAUGAAGGUUCCUGACAAGAAAGCUGCCCCCUCCAAACCACUGACUUGGAAAAGUGGGGAAACUGAGGUCGCGGGUGUUGACACUAGCCGGAUCUGGGAAAGGAAUAAUUAAGCGUUGAGGAAUGUCCAGGUGGGAGCGCCAGCGGGGAGAGGCUGAGACCUAGCAGGCCACAGUGACCCAUGCCAAAGGGCUCUGCACACCUGACCCUAGCCCUCACCGCUCUCAGGAGGGCGCUUACAGUGCGUCUCGUGCUCCAAGCAGCGACAGGGUUAAGCUUCCUCACGGUACUUGCCGCAUGCACGGUCACCAUGGCAACCGCGGAGGAGGUCACGGUAGCUGGGCCCCCGCGCGUCACCCCGCGCCUCGCCGGCUGCAGGCGCCGGGAUUGCGGCCUCCCAGGCGCCGUGGCCCGCGUGGACUCAGCUCCGAGCUCUCCGCCCCCGCUCCGCCCUGCCUACAGCUCAGGCCCCUCCACAGGGCUCUGCCGCGUCCCAACCGGGAAUGUCGCACCUGGGCGCCAGUGCGCUCAGCUAUGCUGUCCCCUCCCACCCCCCCGCCGCCCACUCCCCGCUUUGGCACGCGGGACUGCGCCAUGUAACACGUGCCUAUAACCAAGCUAGGGAACAUGUGCCGCUCUUGCCGAGGGGCUCUCCGCACUUAACGGAUGCCCUGGGGAAUCGACCUAUAUUUGGUCCACAACUCCACAGGCCCUGCCAAGAAGAGACCUCCUGUAACUAAAAAGGCCAGUUCUGGAGUCAGAGCCUAGGCCUGCCUAUCUGACUUAGGGUCCCAGCCUUUCUGUGCCUCUGCUUGCUCAUCAGCAAAAUGGUCCUGUAAGGUUUAAGUACUUUCGAAGUACGUUUAAUUGCUUAACACAGUGUUUGCCAAGUGGUCCCGAAAAA